RNAcentral lists this ribosomal RNA (465 nucleotides) under uncultured bacterium. RNAcentral describes it as "bacterial SSU rRNA". It matches the Rfam family "Bacterial small subunit ribosomal RNA", at positions 28 to 494 of the family's 1533-position model. The record is from RNAcentral.
GACGAACGCUGGCGGCGUGCUUAACACAUGCAAGUCGAACGGAGUACCCUUGAUUGAGGCUUCGGCCAAUUUCUUGGACUACUUAGUGGCGGACGGGUGAGUAACACGUGAGUAACCUGCCCUUGAGUGGGGAAUAACACACCGAAAGGUGUGCUAAUACCGCAUAACAUAACGGAAUCGCAUGUUUCUGUUAUCAAAGAUUUAUUGCUCAAGGAUGGGCUCGCGGCCGAUUAGGUAGUUGGUGAGGUAACGGCUCACCAAGCCGACGAUCGGUAGCCGGACUGAGAGGUUGAACGGCCACAUUGGGACUGAGACACGGCCCAGACUCCUACGGGAGGCAGCAGUGGGAAUAUUGCACAAUGGGGGAAACCCUGAUGCAGCGACGCCGCGUGAAGGAUGAAAGGUCUUCGGAUCGUAAAGCGUCUAUCAGCAGGGAGAAAAUGACGUACCUGACUAAGAAGCCCC